Molecule: ribosomal RNA, 425 nt
Filed under: uncultured bacterium
Lineage: Bacteria
Description: partial 16S ribosomal RNA
Rfam family: Bacterial small subunit ribosomal RNA
Source: RNAcentral
GUGGGGAAUAUUGGACAAUGGGCGCAAGCCUGAUCCAGCCAUGCCGCGUGAGUGAUGAAGGCCUUAGGGUUGUAAAGCUCUUUCAGUGGGGACGAUAAUGACGGUACCCACAGAAGAAGCCCCGGCUAACUUCGUGCCAGCAGCCGCGGUAAUACGAAGGGGGCUAGCGUUGUUCGGAUUUACUGGGCGUAAAGCGCACGUAGGCGGAUCGUUAAGUCGGGGGUGAAAUCCUGGAGCUCAACUCCAGAACUGCCUUCGAUACUGGCGAUCUUGAGUCCGGAAGAGGUGAGUGGAACUCCUAGUGUAGAGGUGGAAUUCGUAGAUAUUAGGAGGAACACCAGUGGCGAAGGCGGCUCACUGGUCCGGUACUGACGCUGAGGUGCGAAAGCGUGGGGAGCAAACAGGAUUAGAAACCCUGGUAGUCC